Molecule: ribosomal RNA, 253 nt
Filed under: uncultured bacterium
Lineage: Bacteria
Description: partial 16S ribosomal RNA
Rfam family: Bacterial small subunit ribosomal RNA
Source: RNAcentral
UACAGAGGGUGCAAGCGUUAAUCGGAUUUACUGGGCGUAAAGCGUGCGUAGGCGGCUCGCUAAGUCGGUUGUGAAAGCCCGAGGCUCAACCUCGGAGGGUCGGUGGAUACUGGCAGUCUUGAAGGUGGUAGGGGGAGAUGGAAUUACCGGUGUAGCGGUGAAAUGCGUAGAGAUCGGUAGGAACACCAGUGGCGAAGGCGGUCUCCUGGCCCACUCUUGACGCUGAGGCGCGAAAGCUGGGGGAGCGAACGGG